GGCUUACAAAAGCUGUGUUCAGUUGAAUUUUUGACCUCAGAGGCUGCUGAAAACAAAGAGGAAAUCAUCAUCCAUCGGUUAAGAAAUCUACAAAAGGAUGACUUGGAUUUUCCUAGUGAUUCUCUGCCUUUUGUUCAUGACCAGGACCGGCCAGCUUCAGUGUGUCAGAGGUGCGAUUUUUUAAAACUGCAGUCAAUUGGAAUAAAUACAUCCCGCAUUUAACAUUGAAAUUAAAAGUGAUUUUGCUUUCUUGGGCAGAAACUUUAAACGACAAAGAGUUCUCCAUUACUGUGACCCCCACAACCAUUGAAGUGAAAUCCGGUGACUGCUUUUGGAUCGAGUAUGAUUUCACCUUUCCAAUGAACAAAGUGACGUUCCCUCUUCGCAUUUGGUUCCAAGAAGAUCCGCAGAACAAAAAAACUCACAUAGAACAAAACAAAAAAGUUGUAAACCAUGAACAAUCUGGGACAAGACACCGUGUUAAGAUGAAGUCCCUACCGCAAGGAGAGUAUGAAUUUGGCUUCAAGUUGAAAUGGGGAUGUAAUCAGACGUAUGUUUUUCCAAAGAAGGUUCGGAUCAUAGUUUCUGCAUUAACACAAAAACCAAGCGUGAGCAUUCCACCUUUGCUGGAAGGACAAAAGGCUACACUACUAUGUACUGCUCCAAGUAUAUGCUCGGAUAUCACUCCAAAAAUUUACUGGAAGGGGAUCAAGGAUGUUCUGUCCAUGAGAGGAGCUCCUUCUCGGUUGAUUUUAACCUUCACUCCCGCAGCAGACUAUCACAAUGCCAACAUCACUUGUGUGGCAAAAUUUGAUUCCAUCCGUGCUGAGACGACUGUCACCUUAACUGUGAAGUUUGCUCCUCAGAUCCUAAACAGUUCCCAGUGCAUGGUCGACAGCAGGCUUCUGGUCUUUGUGUGCAUCAGUUGGGGUAAUCCCCUGCCACUGAUCACCUGGCCUUUAGCUUCGCUCACAGACUUCUCAGUCACCAGCUCUAGGAGUGACCAAACAGUGAACAGCACCGUCGUAAUGCCCACUGCUGACUACCACAACUCCAGUGUAAGAUGCAUCAGCGGCAACGCAUUGGGCCGGGCUGACAUUGAAAUCCCACUCCAUUACUACAGAGGGGAUUUAAGCGUGAAGUAUGGGUUAGAUUCCAGUCCCAGGUCUGAUGCAGUCCACUGCUGGCCAAUCACUGGUGUGUCUUUAAGUGUGAACGUGGCCCUCCUCACAGCCCUGAUCGUCUGCACUGUCAAACGGGGUAAAAGUCAAGAACAAAGGAAGGAACUUGGUGAAGAAAUGUCCCCUUACGCUUCCCUGAAUCGGGCAGACAAUGAUCAAAAUACCUACAGCAAUAUUUCUCCGUCACAAAGACAAAGUACUUAAGUUCACCUUUUGCUUGUUUCCUCUUUUUCUUUUCUUUUCUUUUUUUUUUUUUUUCUUAGUUGCAACAGCAAAGAUACAGACAUGGCGUGCAGAUGGGGAGAUAUGGGAGAAUGCAGGUUAACAACAGGAGUGAUUUAGAGAAAUCAAUAUAAGCUGUAGAUGUACAAAGAGAAGAUGGUUGUAAAAAAGUCCGAAAAGGUAUUUGGGUCAUAACCCAAGGACCCAAGGAUCAAAACCUUCAGAUGCAUUGAUUAUGAUGUCUGUGGCGGUGGUGACAAUAGAAUCAAGCAAAAGGACAGUCUGUAGAAAUAAUAUAAACAAAGAUAAUAGAAUAUUGAUUUUGUGUUUGCUAUAGUGUAGGCAAGUCUAUAGUCCCCUCUGUGUUUAUCCGUGUGAAUGUACAUGGAUGUCAGCCCUGUACCCUCCGCCUCUCCUACGGCUUGCAUCCAUCCUACAUUUUUGUCUUUUGGUUUUCUUAUGAUUUGUGCUAUCCUUGUUUUAAUAAAUCCCUCUUGCGCCCUCCUUGUCACAUGCCCUGAGACAGUUUGUGACAGCUUCAUUCAAUAAAAGACAGUGAGAAUUCUGGGAAUGAGGUGUGAA
Molecule: long non-coding RNA, 1985 nt
Filed under: Sparus aurata (gilthead seabream)
Lineage: Eukaryota; Metazoa; Chordata; Actinopteri; Spariformes; Sparidae
Description: lncRNA (ENSSAUG00010024735.1)
Source: RNAcentral